This 510-nucleotide ribosomal RNA is filed under the name uncultured archaeon. Its description in RNAcentral is "bacterial SSU rRNA". It matches the Rfam family "Archaeal small subunit ribosomal RNA", at positions 474 to 983 of the family's 1478-position model. The record is from RNAcentral.
CACCGGCGGCCCGAGUGGUAACCGCUUUUAUUGGGUCUAAAGGGUCUGUAGCCGGCCAAGUAAGUCCCUUGGGAAAUCUGGCAGCUUAACUGUCAGGCUGCUAGGGGAUACUGCUAGGCUUGGGACCGGGAGAGGUGAGAGGUACCUUGGGGGUAGGGGUGAAAUCUUGUGAUCCUCGGGGGACCACCAGUGGCGAAGGCGUCUCACCAGAACGGGUCCGACGGUAAGGGACGAAAGCUAGGGGCACGAACCGGAUUAGAUACCCGGGUAGUCCUAGCCGUAAACGAUGCUCGCUAGGUGUCAGUCACGGUGCGACCGUGAUUGGUGCCGUAGGGAAGCCGUGAAGCGAGCCACCUGGGAAGUAUGGCCGCAAGGCUGAAACUUAAAGGAAUUGGCGGGGGAGCACUACAACGGGUGGAGCCUGCGGUUUAAUUGGAUUCAACGCCGGAAAUCUCACCGGGGGCGACAGCGAUAUGAAGGUCAGGCUGAAGACCUUACCCGAUUAGCUGG